UCCCUGGUGGUCCAGUGGUUAGGACCCUGGGCUCUCACUGCCAAGAGCCCAGGUUCAACCCCUGGUCAGGGAA
Lipotes vexillifer (Yangtze River dolphin) is the source of this 73-nucleotide non-coding RNA. NCBI's taxonomy places the organism in Eukaryota, Metazoa, Chordata, Mammalia, Artiodactyla, Lipotidae. The record is from the annotation of a RefSeq genome assembly.